UAAUUACUUCCUCCGUCCCAAAAUUCUUGUCUUACCUUUGUUUAGAAAUAGAUGUAUCAAAAUACUAAAACUUGACUAGAUACAUCCAUAUCUAAACAAAUCUAAGACAAAAAUUAUGGGACGGAGGGAGUAUUAU
This is a non-coding RNA of Hordeum vulgare subsp. vulgare (domesticated barley), 136 nucleotides long. NCBI's taxonomy places the organism in Eukaryota, Viridiplantae, Streptophyta, Magnoliopsida, Poales, Poaceae. The record is from Rfam.